RNAcentral lists this non-coding RNA (53 nucleotides) under Myxococcales bacterium. Its description in RNAcentral is "Li+-I sequence". It matches the Rfam family "nhaA-I RNA". From Rfam's summary of the family: Acidobacteria, Alphaproteobacteria, Betaproteobacteria and Gammaproteobacteria, Verrucomicrobia, cand. division NC10. Downstream gene The record is from RNAcentral. Lineage: Bacteria; Pseudomonadati; Myxococcota; Myxococcia; Myxococcales.
GGGUGCCGUAGGUCUUCUGCGGCAGGUCAUCGAGGCUGGUCGGGCCGCCAUCC